CGACGCGCGCGCACACACCCACACAACCCAUACUGCUGCCUCUUCCAUCGAAGCUCUUCGGCUGAGGGAUUCUUGAUUUCCCACUGCUCACCAUCAUCCGCUGUGACGGACAGCCCCCCUCUGUGGGCGGUAUAAACAGGGUUCGGUGCUCGCACUCUCUGUGCGGGAGAAGCCAGUCGACCACCCAGCCCCUGCCCCUCUCCCUGCCGAUGCCGAGCCCCUCCCCCCCCUCCCUGCUGGUGGUGUCAGGGGGAGGCACCCACCUAGGUAGGGAUGCCAGAGCGAUGUGUGGCUGCUGAUGUCGGCGGUCGUGUCCUGGGGCGGCGUUGCGUCGGCGCGACCCGCGACCGUGGGCACGUCUGUGGCAUCCAUAUGAGAAUAGGCAAAGCAUCAGGGUGACUCGAAGGUACCUCACCCCUACCCCCGACCCACACACGCCCCACACCGGUGUGGGGAGGCUGAGCCACCGCGAGGGGGGGGGCGGGGAGGGAUGCGCGAGGUGGCGUCUGGGCAUCACAUGAGCGGCUGCGAGGCGACCUGCGGGGGCCGAGGUGUGAGUGAACAGAGUAUGAGGCCGAGGCGGUGCUCCGAUGAUCGGGCCGGCGCGCUGGUGUAGCGCGCGUGUGUCUACGGCUGCAUGGGCACCACACACGGGACGGGUCUGUGAGGCUCCACGGCCGUUCGAGUCGCGCCGUAUAGGACUGAGUGGAUAAGGUGGAGAAAAAACAAAUGUGCAUCUUGUUUCUUCGCGCCCUCUGGUAGAUGUGCUGCACUCCGUGAUAGGGACGCACAGAUUCAG
Molecule: unclassified non-coding RNA, 799 nt
Filed under: Leishmania donovani
Lineage: Eukaryota; Euglenozoa; Kinetoplastea; Trypanosomatida; Trypanosomatidae
Description: gene:unknown
Source: RNAcentral